Molecule: long non-coding RNA, 301 nt
Organism: Clupea harengus (Atlantic herring)
Lineage: Eukaryota; Metazoa; Chordata; Actinopteri; Clupeiformes; Clupeidae
Exons: 3
Source: RefSeq, a predicted model, not a curated record
GCGCACACACACACACACUCAACUGAUCAACUGAUGAGAGAUCUGCAGAAAGCCACAGGCUUCUGCUAGUUCACAAGUAGAGAUAUGAGCGGUAUGGAGGUGCUUCAGUUAGCGCUCAUCUCAGCGCUAAUGCUCCAUGCGCUGGGAACAACUACAGCUAUAUCCUGUGAUCUUGUCACAAAAAAAUGCCAACAAGAACCUUCUUUCGCAACGUGCUACAGUCAGUGGAUAAGACGAUGUAUAGGUGCAAGACUCAAACACCCAGACUUUGACAAAAAACUUGUCAACUCUUCGUUAGAGG